Long non-coding RNA from Felis catus (domestic cat), 205 nucleotides. RefSeq lists it as uncharacterized. NCBI's taxonomy places the organism in Eukaryota, Metazoa, Chordata, Mammalia, Carnivora, Felidae. The transcript is spliced from 3 exons. The record is from RefSeq and is a predicted model, not a curated record.
UGCUCUUCUGAUCUGGCGGGUGUCCCCUUCCUCCCUCACCUCUCCAUGUGCGUCCCUCCCAAAGCUGCACGCUCGGCCGAAGAGGACGACCUUCCCCGAUAGAGGAGGACCGUUCUUCGGUCAAGGGUAUACGAGUAGCUGCGCUCCCCUGCUAGAACCUCCAAACAAGCUCUCAAGGCCCAUUUGUAGGAGAACGUAGGGUAGU